AGAAGCGGAAGCUUGUGCGUUACCAAACAACGGCCAUAGAAUAUGCUCUUAGCUGUUAUCAACUUUGCCGGGAACUUCAUCGGAGCCGGAGCACCAAUCACUGCUUCUCAACUCUAACCAUUUCAAUUCCUUCUCUCUCUCUCUCUCUCUCUACCUUCUUCUUCUUCUUCCUCUUCCUCUUCUUCCUCUUCCCGGUAUCUUCUCUCUUUCUUCUUCGCCUCCGCUUCAAUUUGACUUCAAUUUCUUCGUCUCCUUUACUCACUUCCCUCGUCUUCUGCACCUCUGAUUCGCCUGCACCAAUUCCGAACCCUGACUUGUAAUUCACGGCUGUGAUUGAUUUCCAGCGGAAUUCUGUGCUUCCACGUCAAAUUACUACACCUCUGUGAUUUUCUAGGGCUUGAAACUCCAAGGCUUUGGCAGUGAAGCGGAGGAUUCAGUAUACAGCUAGACGUGGCGUGGCGUCCAGUUUCUGUAUCAAUCAAAGUGUGGAGAAUAAGAGUUCUUUAGAGCUCUCUGGCUUAUGAUCUAAGUUCAGUACUUGUGCAUAUGGUUUCUACAGGGGAUCAGUUAGAGAAUGGGGUUGAUUCCGAUCAAUUGGAUCAUGAAAACAGUUCAGAUAGUCAACCGCAAGCGUCUCAGGACGAUCCUGGUGGAACUAAUGCUUCGAAAUCAGAUCACAAAUGCACAGGGGCUUCCAGUAAUACACUUGAAGAAGCUGUCAAGCAGCCUGAAGUUACAAUAGCACUAGUGGAUCGAGGAGACAUCUCUAAUAUAGUGACUGAGAAAGUGACCCAUAAGCCAAUUACUGCAGAACAGAAUCCCCUAUCUGUUUUGAAAGUAUGUAUUACCUCCAGUAUACGAGAGAAAGUAUCAGAGGAUGGAUAUAACUGGCGGAAAUAUGGUCAGAAACUGGUUAAGGGCAAUGUCUUUGUUAGAAGCUAUUACAGAUGUACGCAUCCUACUUGCAUGGUGAAAAAACAACUGGAGCGUACUCAUGAUGGGAAAAUCACAGACACCGUUUACUUUGGUCAGCAUGAUCACCCUAAACCUCAACCUCAUAUUCCAAUUCCUGUUGGAGUCGUUACCAUGGUUGAAGAAAAAUUAGGUGAACAUGCUUCUGGAAAUUCUCAAGAUAAAACCUCCACUACGCUUAGCCCAACUCCUCAACAAACGGAGCUUACUGAUAUGCGUCAACCGCCAUCAGUUAUAGCCAGUGAUAAUGUAAAAGAUGAAGCUUCGAAAAGGUCUCGGACUAAUGAUGAAGCUUCGAAAAGGUCUAGGACUAUUGAUGAGAUUGAUAGUGAUGAUACACCAGACCUGAAACGAGAUUUCAAAAGGAAGAAAAGAUGUAAUAUUGACGUGACGACUGUAGCAGACAAGUCAAUUGUUGAAUCUCGGGUUGUUGUUCAAACUCCUAGUGAGGUUGACAUCGUCAAUGAUGGAUACCGCUGGCGGAAGUAUGGACAGAAAUUUGUGAAAGGAAAUCCAAAUCCUAGGAGUUACUACAGAUGCUCAAGUCCUGGAUGUCCAGUUAAGAAACAUGUAGAGAGGGCGUCUCAUGAUCCCAAAGUGGUGCUUACCACAUAUGAGGGCCAGCAUGACCAUGUUCUGCCACCUAUUAGAACAGUGACGUUGAACUCAGUUGGAUCCACAACAGCCCAUAGUGACGAAACAAAACCAAAACCAGUUAGUACGGUGGUUCAUGCUAGUAAGGAUCCGCAAAGCGAUUCAAGUUCUGAAGGCAAAUUGAUUGAAGAGAAUGGGAAGUUGAAUGCAACAGAAACAAGUGAUGACAUUAUACUCGAUGGGGUGGUGGUAAAUCCUAGCCCAGGAGUUGCGAGUGAACAAAAUAAGCAGCUGAAAGUAGCAAUCGAAAGCUAGAGGUAGCAUGCCCUUCCAGGUUCAAAUUUGUAUCAUCAAUCAAGACACAUUAAUAACAGCACCAAAUCAUGCAUAGUAGUAAAGAGAGUCAAAGUUUAAUGGAAGCAGCUAUUGUCGCUUCGCUCCCCGGGACGAUUCAAGGACUUUUCCCUGUAACCUGAAGCUGAUUCUUGUUUGGAAUGGCAGUCAAUCUUCAAAUCCGUUGGAACAGUAUAGUAAUAAAGAUAAGUUUCUUAAGGUUACUAUAUUCUAAAGUUUCAUUUGACCCACUAAAACAUAAACAUGUUGAGCGAGACCAGGCUUCAAGCACAAACCAUAACAGCAAGGCGGCCUAUACUUCAGCAUAAAAUUUGACUGACUAUCAAGGGAGGUGUAAAUAACAUUGCCUAAAACAUGAAAUUGUACCUAUUCAGUACAUUUCUCCUCACUAAAGUUAAAGUUUGCUAGGGUUCCUCUAA
Molecule: RNA transcript, 2339 nt
Organism: Cucumis melo (muskmelon)
Lineage: Eukaryota; Viridiplantae; Streptophyta; Magnoliopsida; Cucurbitales; Cucurbitaceae
Gene name: WRKY transcription factor 1
Exons: 7
Source: RefSeq, a predicted model, not a curated record